Molecule: non-coding RNA, 144 nt
Organism: Ursus americanus (American black bear)
Lineage: Eukaryota; Metazoa; Chordata; Mammalia; Carnivora; Ursidae
Product: small Cajal body-specific RNA 17
Source: Ensembl
GUCCCCGAGUCCCCAGUGUAGCCCCCAGAUGAGCUCGCAGUAUUUUCCUUAUAUGAUCGGGCCCCGUUGCUGGCGGCGCCGCUGGCCCGGAGCCUGAGAGGAUUAUAAAAACGUUUCAGGUGAAGUGUGGCUGGGGACCGGGGC